UUCCAGUAAACUAACUGUGUUACGACUUACCUCUUCUUUAGAAGAGGGCGACGGGCGAUAUGUACACCUAAAUUCAUUUUCGUUCUCAAUUUUUAUUAAAAAACUACUUCCAAAUCCUUUUUCAGUUUUUCUUUAGAAUAAAAUCUUUUAAUAAGUUUAAUGAGUAAUUAGCUUUAUCUUCAUUAUGGACUUCACCUUGACCUGACUUACGAAAAAAUGUUUGGGCAGAAGAUGGAAAUUCUACCUUUAGACGGCGGUAUAAAAGAUAGAAAUGAAGAGAAAAUAAACGGGAAAAAUCGAGAAAAAGCAAAUUCCUC
RNAcentral lists this ribosomal RNA (317 nucleotides) under Aptostichus atomarius. Its description in RNAcentral is "partial 12S ribosomal RNA". The record is from RNAcentral. Lineage: Eukaryota; Metazoa; Arthropoda; Arachnida; Araneae; Euctenizidae.